UCUGUAAAAUCUCGUCUACUCAUAGUGC
This 28-nucleotide non-coding RNA is filed under the name Bombyx mori (domestic silkworm). Lineage: Eukaryota; Metazoa; Arthropoda; Insecta; Lepidoptera; Bombycidae. The record is from RNAcentral.